This 326-nucleotide ribosomal RNA is filed under the name uncultured eukaryote. Its description in RNAcentral is "partial 18S ribosomal RNA". It matches the Rfam family "Eukaryotic small subunit ribosomal RNA", at positions 1470 to 1796 of the family's 1831-position model. The record is from RNAcentral.
CCCUUAGAUGUUCUGGGCCGCACGCGCGCUACACUGAUGCAUUCAACAAGCCUAGCCUUGACCGAGAGGUCCGGGUAAUCUUUGAAACUGCAUCGUGAUGGGGCUAGAUUAUUGCAAUUAUUAAUCUUCAACGAGGAAUGCCUAGUAAGCGUGAUUCAUCAAAUCGCGUUGAUUACGUCCCUGCCCUUUGUACAUACCGCCCGUCGCUCCUACCGAUUGAAUGUGUUGGUGAGGAGCUCGGAUUGGCAGCAGUUGGUGGUUCGCCACCGGCUAUUGCUGAGAAGUCCUCCAAACCGCCCCAUUUAGAGGAAGGAGAAGUCGUAACA